UGUGAAAUCCCGCUUCAUUAAACAUAAGAAUAUACAUUGACAAAAUUAAACACUCCGCCUCACUGCUUUAGGGCAAAUCCCCGCUUCACCGGCGUCGUCGGCACUCAAUCCAAGCGGCUAUAGUCGUCGUCGUCGGCAAUAAGCGGCCAUCGUCGGCACUCAGACUCCUCUCCAUCUCCGUUAAGGUUUCUUCCAUCGUCGGCCAUUGAGGUCGUUUUUAGGGGUGGUUUGAGUUCACAAAUUCUCAUAGUAAUGCGAAGGGGAAGGGAGGUUUAGGAUAAGAGGAAAGGAAAGAGAAGGGUCUGGUGAAGAUGAAUCUUAGACCUUGAAGGGCUUUAUUUUUAUUUCAUUCUCAAGUUUGUUCUUUUGGUUGUUCAAUCCUAUUGUUAUUUGAGACCAACAUUCAUGGUUUUGCUCUUUCCGUUAUAUGCUCUCCAGUUUUAGCUCUUUUUGGUUUUGAAUGGCAUUAGUUCAACACCUAUUAACUACUAGCUGCUGCUCCAUCAUGGACUAGAACUCCUUUUUGUCUCUGUGCAUUUUGAACCGUGUUCCAGUCGUCGGCGAUCCAAGCGGCCAUCGUCGGCAUUGAGACUCCUCUCCAUCUCCGUCAUGGAGAGGAUCUGCAGAGGUAUUGGACCAUCAAGAAAUUCAAGAAGCAGAGUGAACUGGGAAAGAAGGCCCGAGCAUCUGAGAAGGGUGGCUCCUUGCAUUGUUUGGGUUCAAGGAGCAUCGGGGAUACGAGGAGACACCUGGAAAAAAAAUAUGGGAGGAAGAUAGUCAUGAUGAAUUCUUCAUGGAGACUCACAUCCGAAAGAAGAAGGCAUCGACAGAUCCAACUAGAUGGGUCGAGGACCAGGCAGAGACUACACAUAGGAUCGCUACAAGAUUAAUGUGGAGGAAUACACUCAGAUCUUGCCAUCGAAUGAGCAAGGCGAGCGACCGUCCAUUUCAGACGAAGAAGCACAGAGGAUAUGGUUGGGUGUUGUCGAUUGUCCUAAAAAGGGGAGAGCAUAUGGCCUUCCAGAUAAAUCAUUUCGGCGCUACAGGGCUGGAUUGCAAGGUAUAGGGACUUCCGUCCAAGGCGAGGCGAUUGAUAGGUCGACUAUAUCGUCUAUGGAACAGAAGAUCGCAAAGCUGACAGCAGAGCUUGAAGAGACAAAGGCUAGAGAUAAAAAGAGAGACGAACAAUUUGGUACCCUUUAAGUUCAGCUAGAAAGGAGGGACGAACAAUUUAAUCUCCUUCAAGUUUAGCUAGAAAGGAGGGACGAACAAUUUAAUCUCCUUCAAGGUCAGCUGGCCAAUCUUCUUGCUAGUGGUGCUUUCCUCAUUCCCCGGUAUCGUGAGCCUUCCCCAUGUGCCGACGAUGAAGGUUCUAGGAGAGAAGAUGGAGAUGAUGCUAGAUAAAACACUCAUUGAUUGGUGUGUAUUGCUAAACAAAGUAUUGAACUUGUCAAUAUUUUAAUGAGACUAAUUUUAAAUGAUGAUUUUAUUGUUAUUUUGUUAUUGAACAUUUUAGUAGUUGUUGUGGUUGUUAUUAGUUGUUGUUAGAUAAUGGU
Molecule: long non-coding RNA, 1556 nt
Organism: Nicotiana attenuata
Lineage: Eukaryota; Viridiplantae; Streptophyta; Magnoliopsida; Solanales; Solanaceae
Exons: 5
Source: RefSeq, a predicted model, not a curated record